Molecule: long non-coding RNA, 2262 nt
Organism: Xenia sp. Carnegie-2017
Lineage: Eukaryota; Metazoa; Cnidaria; Anthozoa; Malacalcyonacea; Xeniidae
Exons: 9
Source: RefSeq, a predicted model, not a curated record
AGCUCUAAAAAUUCAAAAACAAUCGUUAGGUUCAAAUCAUAUUGAUGUCGCUAUGUCUUUAAACAAUCUUGGUGCUGUGUAUUCUAGUACUGGAAACUGCGACAAAGCUAUAGAAUUUUAAGAAAAAGCUCUGGAAAUUCAAAAAUAACGGUUAGCUCCAAAUCAAUUUAAUGUCGCUGCGUCUUUAAACAAUCUUGUUAAUGUGCUUGAAAAAGUUGAAAAGCUACGUGUUUUAAAGAAAAUUGUACAUUCCAAAUUAUGUUAAGCCUAUAUUUUACACAUAGACCGUAGGAGCAAAGCUUCCAUCUGCCAAGUCAACUCCCUUCUCCCUGAGAAGGUAUUUUUGGUACUGACAAAACGUUCGGAGUUUGCAUUUUGUGAGGUCACUUACAUUAUGAUGACCAUAUUUACAUAAUAGCGACAUUUUGAAAUGGAUCAUGGAUUCAAUGGAUGUAGUAGUGAAAAUAUAAAAACAAAACAGCAAUGGCAAUUGCUUUUAGAAGACAGAAAUUUGGAAAUGUGGAAAACGAUGAAAAGGAUGGAUCAAAGAUAUGGUGAUUAAAAGUGAGAAUGUUAGAAGGAUGGAGGCAUUUAAGAUGUGAUUCUGGAAAAUGAUGGAUUGGAUAAACUUAUGCAAACCUAAGUUCAACCAUCUUUUAUUUCAUUUAUAAAUUGAUAUUAGAUAAAAGGAUAUGAAACAUUCAUGGCAAUGGCUUGUUCAAGUAAGUAAUCGAAGGAAGAGUUGAAGGUAAAACAUCUAAAAAAGAAAAAGGAUUGAAAAGCUAAAUUACUAUAAAGGUUUGUCAAAAUGAAAAGAAAUGCAGAUAACAGGAAAACCUAGCAAACUUUAUACAAAGCAAGACGUGUUGAUAGACAGAACUCUAGACAUUAGUGACUUGAUAAUUGAUACAUGAUCUGAAAUCGUUGUUUUAUUAUGAAAGGAUGAAAAUAUGUCGAAAGACAAAGAUGAACUUAAAGGAUUCAAAACAUUAGUCAUGUGGAGCGAUGGAAAAACAAAGGGAAACGGCAAGUCGAGGGAAUUUCCUGCAGAGAUAAUAGAGGUUUCAGAUAGUUAAGAUUAUUUACUCAAGACAAUGAGAAAAGAAGAAACUUUCUCUAUAAAUACUGGCAAAGGGUGUCGCAAAAGAAUUCACAAAGCAAAGUUUACAAUUGAAAGUGAUAGUGAAUCAGAUGAUGUGCAGGAGCACAGUAUUCCUAAAAAGCUAAAGGCAUCCAGGGCAAAGAAAACAGAGGCUUGCUGCUCAGCCAGUCUUGCUUCACUUAUAAAAGAGUGAUUAAGCAAGGAGAGUCAGUCAGAUGAAGGUAGUGCACUUUGCAAUGAUAAAUGCAAGUAUAAAAAAAGCCUUGGAACUCAAAGAGAGGGUAAAAAUGCUGGAAAAUCAGAUGAAAAGACUUAAUGAGCAAAUUGACAAUGGCAAUGAACUUCAUUAAAAAAUUAAGAAGAUAUGUGUCUACCUUGGAAGAUUCCGCCAGGUCACUUUUACAAAGAUCAUUUCUGACUAGAACUUCUCUCAGUAAAUCCUCGUCCACCCCAUCCACCACAUCUUUGUCACCCAUUGAAGGUUUGCCUGUGAUGGAGAAUAGAUUCACCCCAGUUUCAUCUGGGAGAAGUAGCUCUUACUCAAACCUUUCAAAUCUUCCAGAAGAAAACCCUUCCCCCAUACCAACUGCUGUGUUUGAGAGCUCUAUCAAUGGACUAUCAAAUGAAACCAACCAAACUAUGGAAGAAAGCCCUCUGGAUUGCUAAAAUGCAACAACUGAAGAUACUUCUCUCCUCGAAAUGGUCACUUUGGGACCAAUUUUGGUUGUCAAAAAGCACGUCUUUAAAAGAAUCGAGGCAAAGAAAGUUGGAUCAUAUGUUGCUAACUUACUGGGGACAACCUUAUCCCGUGAACACAUGGCUACCCACAGCUACAAGGACCAAAAAAGGAAAAAUGGUCAGGUCAAACCUCAGCUUGAUCCCACAUACACUACUUCUUUAAUUCAGCAUGCAACGAGUGUGAAGUAUUCAAAUAUGCCACGCCAGGUUAUAGAAGAAGAUGUUGUAAAAGCUGUAAAGUUCAAACUUAAUAACGAGGAACAAGCAUGGAAAAAACAACACGAAUCCUGUAAAGAGUAACAUUAGCGGUAUAUACUAUAUUUUUCUAUUAAUUCUAUCUAUGUAACUUAAUGAUAUUUUUCUAUAAAGGAAGAAAAUUGGUGAAUAUUUUUAUCUGGUUAAAAUACAAUGUAUAAUUAAAA